AGUCGAACGAUGAACAGGAGCUUGCUCCUGGGAUUAGUGGCGAACGGGUGAGUAACACGUGAGUAACCUGCCCUUGACUCUGGGAUAAGCGUUGGAAACGACGUCUAAUACCGGAUAUGACCCUCGCCGGCAUCGGCUGGGGGUGGAAAGAAUUUUGGUCAAGGAUGGACUCGCGGCCUAUCAGGUAGUUGGUGAGGUAAUGGCUCACCAAGCCGACGACGGGUAGCCGGCCUGAGAGGGUGACCGGCCACACUGGGACUGAGACACGGCCCAGACUCCUACGGGAGGCAGCAGUGGGGAAUAUUGCACAAUGGGCGAAAGCCUGAUGCAGCAACGCCGCGUGAGGGAUGACGGCCUUCGGGUUGUAAACCUCUUUUAGUAGGGAAGAAGCGAAAGUGACGGUACCUGCAGAAAAAGCACCGGCUAACUACGUGCCAGCAGCCGCGGUAAUACGUAGGGUGCAAGCGUUGUCCGGAAUUAUUGGGCGUAAAGAGCUCGUAGGCGGUUUGUCGCGUCUGCUGUGAAAUCUGGGGGCUCAACCCCCAGCCUGCAGUGGGUACGGGCAGACUAGAGUGCGGUAGGGGAGAUUGGAAUUCCUGGUGUAGCGGUGGAAUGCGCAGAUAUCAGGAGGAACACCGAUGGCGAAGGCAGAUCUCUGGGCCGUAACUGACGCUGAGGAGCGAAAGCAUGGGGAGCGAACAGGAUUAGAUACCCUGGUAGUCCAUGCCGUAAACGUUGGGAACUAGAUGUAGGGGCCAUUCCACGGUUUCUGUGUCGCCGCUAACGCAUUAAGUUCCCCGCCUGGGGAGUACGGCCGCAAGGCUAAAACUCAAAGGAAUUGAC
Molecule: ribosomal RNA, 843 nt
Filed under: uncultured bacterium
Lineage: Bacteria
Description: bacterial SSU rRNA
Rfam family: Bacterial small subunit ribosomal RNA
Source: RNAcentral